Molecule: ribosomal RNA, 231 nt
Filed under: uncultured archaeon
Lineage: Archaea
Description: partial 16S ribosomal RNA
Rfam family: Archaeal small subunit ribosomal RNA
Source: RNAcentral
CCUAGGUGUAUCGGUGACACGAGUCACCGAGGUGCCGAAGAGAAUCGUGUAACGUGCCGCCUGGGAAGUACGGUCGCAAGGCUGAAACUUAAAGGAAUUGGCGGGGGAGCACCACAACAGGUGGAGCCUGCGGUUUAAUCGGACUCAACGCCGGGAAACUCACCGGAUAAGACAGCUGAAUGAUAGCCGGGCUGAAGACUCUGCUUGACUAGCUGAGAGGAGGUGCAUGGC